This 308-nucleotide ribosomal RNA is filed under the name uncultured bacterium. RNAcentral describes it as "bacterial SSU rRNA". It matches the Rfam family "Bacterial small subunit ribosomal RNA", at positions 28 to 337 of the family's 1533-position model. The record is from RNAcentral.
GACGAACGCUGGCGGCGUGCUUAACACAUGCAAGUCGAACGGUAACAGGCCCUUCGGGUGCUGACGAGUGGCGGACGGGUGAGUAAUGCUUAGGAAUCUGCCUAGUAGUGGGGGAUAACCCGGGGAAACUCGGGCUAAUACCGCAUACGCCCUACGGGGGAAAGGCGGGGGACGUUUCGGCCGUCGCGCUAUUAGAUGAGCCUAAGUCCGAUUAGCUAGUUGGUAGGGUAAUGGCCUACCAAGGCGACGAUCGGUAGCUGGUCUGAGAGGACGACCAGCCACACUGGGACUGAGACACGGCCCAGACU